GGAGAGAUGGUCGAGUGGUUGAAGGCAGCGGUCUUGAAAACCGCCGUAGGUGCAAGCCUACCGUGGGUUCGAAUCCCACUCUCUCCGCCA
RNAcentral lists this transfer RNA (90 nucleotides) under Alicyclobacillaceae bacterium. RNAcentral's name for it is "tRNA-Ser". It matches the Rfam family "tRNA". Rfam says of the family: Transfer RNA (tRNA) molecules are approximately 80 nucleotides in length. Their secondary structure includes four short double-helical elements and three loops (D, anti-codon, and T loops). Lineage: Bacteria; Bacillati; Bacillota; Bacilli; Caryophanales; Alicyclobacillaceae. The record is from RNAcentral.